UCCCUCUCGCACCCAACGCCUCUUCCUCUUCCUCUCCCUCUCGCCCACCGUCUCCUCCCCUCCACCGUCUCCCUGCUCCGCCACCGGCCUCCACCCUCUCCUCCUUACCUCACAUCCUCUCCCUCGGCGGCCCUGCUUCCGGAUCGAGCAGGGGAUGCCGCGGCGCUCCCAGAUCCGCGGUUGCUCGUCUUCGCGGCCGACGGACACGUCCUCGACAAUGAAGGAUUCGAGGGCGCUCGGAUCUGCACUGGCGCGGCCGACGGCGGCCGGGACGGAGCUGCUCCGUGCUCCACGACCAGGUGAACGCCUCCGCCUCCGCCGCCCAAGGCCACGCCUUCUUCACACUCCUGUCGUCGCGCGACGGGGGAGGAGGUCACUGCUUCCUCCGCCGUAUUUCACCGAGAGAGAAGGGCGCCGGCCGGUGUGCAUCUUCUCGGGCAACCACGCGGCCGUGCGGUCAGACGCCGCUCCUCCGCGCGAGGACUGGACAGGACAGGGCUGGGCGCGGCUCGGUUGGGGGGCAACUCCGAUCUUGGCGAUGCCAUGGAGAUUCUUCAAGAUCAUGACUUGGUGUUCUAUUGUGGUCACUUCUUCUUUCCAACUAGAUAAAUAUAUUGUUAUUCUCCUUUAUAGCUAUGCACGACUGGUUCACAAGGACGGCAAGGACCGCCACCGUGAUGGAAGAUGCUCGAAGUGGCCGCCGCCGCCGCCCCAAGACCAAACCUGCCUCCUCCGCAUGUGUUCCACUUGCUGUAUAGGAGCUGUGCACGGGCUGGUUCACAAGGACAGCAAGCACCGCCACUGUAAUGGAAGAUGCUUGAAGUGGAUGCGCCGCCCAAGACCAAACCCGCCUCCUGUGCACUUGCUCCGCUUGCUGUACAGUGGCCACCCAUGGCUCGUUGUCACGGCUGACGGCCAGGUCAGAUGGCUCUCAGAUCUGCGCUAGCGCGGCUGAAGGCGAUCGGGACGGAGGUCUUCCAGGGUCAGGUGAGCGCCUUCGCCACCUAAGACCCAGCCUUCUCCACAAUCGCGCCGGGAGAGGAGGCGGGGGCCGUCGCUGCUUCCUCCGCCAUCUUCCACCGAGAGAGGAGGUGGCCUCUAUGCUUCUUCACGGGCAACGACGCGGCCGUGCGGUCGGACGCCGCUCCUCCGCUCCAGGACAGGGCUGGGUGCGCCUUGGUUGGGGGGCAACUCUGAUAUUGACGACGCCAUGGAGCUUCUUCAAGCUAUGCAUGGCCGGCUGGUUCACAACGGCAACAAGCACCGUCACUGUGACGGAAGAUGCUUGAAGUGGAUGCUUCCGCCCAAGACCAACCUGCCUCCUCCAAUGCUUCCUCCGUACAUGUUUCGCUUGCUGUACAACUGUGUACGGCUGGUUCACAAGGACAACAAGCACCGCCACCGUGAUGGAAGAUGCUCGAAGUGGCCGCCCCCGCCGCCCAAGACCAAACCUGCCUCCACUGCUUCCUCCGCACGUGUUCUGAUUGCUGUACAGGUGCACAAGAGAUUGCCGUCCAUGUGCUGGUUUACAAGGAUGACAAGCAUAACGCACACCGGGAGAGGAGGAGGAGGAUGAGGGGGCUUCCUAUACUGUGUUUUGCAUUGCCUCCACCAAUCCCUGCACUUCUUCUUCCACUCCGGCGUGGAACACAAUAACAGCAUCCCUACAGAUGUGAAGGUGCCCAUCCCUAAUGGUUUCUACCGCCAUAUCUACAACCCUGACUGGAUUUAUCAAUAUAUGGGAUCUCUCCUUAUCCAGCGGUCACUCCGACGUCUGGCAUAGGUAAGCCACUGGUUCCUCCUCUGCUCUCUUUCGUUCUUUCUGUGCCCAAGGCCACAGAGCCAAUUUUUUGUACACGAAUGAGAUAAUUUCUGAGUUCCGAAUAGUGUGCACGAAUAAAUUUUGUAACGGAUCAUUUUAUAUUUGCUUGAAUUUGGAAGCCAAAUAAAAUUUCCUUUUGUGCCUUUUGUUUGCUGAUCCAUUGUAUGGGUGUACUGUGUAUGUUAAGGAGAUGGAGAAAGAUGUGGGUUGUAGCUUUAUAUAGAAUUGGCUUUUAGAAAUCCUGGUAUUGAUGGGGGAAAUAUAAUGAUCACCUUUUCCUGGUUAGAAAGUAGGCAGCGCUAUUUAACCUUUUUCUGAAAAUAUAAAUAUGAUGAAAACAUUAUAUUUCUAGAACCAAAUAAAAAUAUCUCCUUUUGUGUUUUUUAUGGAUAUCAUAUUGUUCCCCUACUACUGUAAAGAAUCAUUCAUGAUAAUAAUGUUUGGCAAUGCAUUGAUUUUGUAUAUCUUUCUUUUCUUUGUUAAACUAAGGUCAAAUAUCCUUUUCCUGUGGGAACAAGAACGAUGAUGUAUCUGCUUUGGCUGACUGUUUUGAGUUCCCAAAAGUUGAGAAUGAACUAAAUUGAGCAACAGAAAAAAAUAUAGGCUUUGACACAUAGAGGAAAAAAAAGAGAGAUGUAUUUCUGGAAACAAAUAAAAUUCUCACGUUUUGUGUAUUUUUAUGGCUGAUUCAUUGUAUGGGUGUACUAUUCAUGUAUGUAAAGGAGAUGGAGAAAGAUGGGAGUACUAGCUUCUAGAAAUACACCGACCUUUUGAAAUUCUGAUAUUGAUGGAGGGGAGAUAAUGAUCAGUGUGUCCUGGUUAUAAAGCUUGCAAAAAUGUAGAAAAAUAGGCAGAGCUAUUAAACAUUUUUCUGGACAUUAAGGUCAGGAGUAACGUAUUGUAUUUCUGUUCCCUUGAUACUUCUACAUUCUUUUCAUGACUGGUAAUGAAAAAUGUCCCCUUUUUGGUAUGAACGCCCUCCAUGAUGCUGGCGGCCUUGGCAUCCUACCGGUCUACUUGUAUCUCCCUUGGGAGGUCAAGAUGGAUGCUGGCAUGCCCGACACCGUUCAGGCAAGGUCAUGAGGAGCUUGAUGCUGCUUUGUUUGUGGGAGCUUGAAGAGUUCACAAAGGUGAAAAUAGUGAAGAUAGAACUUGGGAAAUAUGAGAUAGAUACCUGGUAUUUCUCUCCUUCCCCACUUUAAGCACAAAGAACAGCUUCAGAGGCACAUUGUGCGCUUGCACUUAUUAUUUUUACUGUAUUGUCAGUUCCGUGUUUGUGAGAUAGGCAUUGCUAACUUGCAACUUGUGAACCGGUUUACACCUUGUCUGUCUCUCUCGGCCCUUGUAUCUUGAUUUUACAUGUACCAGUAGACAUCACUUCUGUUAUUUAGAUACAAGUUUUGUGUUUGGACAUGUGAAUUUUCUCUCACUACUUGAAGGUUUCAUGUGGAAUUUCCGAGAGUACCAAACCAACUCCUAGUUUUUCACCCUUCUGUUAGUCCUUGUAUCUAAAUUAACUGCAACUAUUUUCUGCAAGGAACUGCAUUAAGCAAGAACACGAACCCCUGUCUCCACCACAUAUAUUUCUCAUUGUCAAAGGAAGGUCAUCUUUAGAAAUCUGAAGUCAUGGCUGCCUGUUAGGGUGUCUUUGGAUCCUAAGCAAUUGUAGUGUUAGCUUGCUUAGCAAGGAAAUCUGUUUGGUAAAAGCUAAACUAACCUGGCAAUUCCAUCUAGCCUGCACAUGCUAGAAAAGCCUUGCCCCAGCAGGAGGGCCAAUUUGGCUCUCCGUUGGUAAUAAAUGAGUGGAAGAAAGAAAUCAAGGUAACUGCCACUGGAAUUGUGCUUAACCAAGGAGAUUGGUAGCUGAACCAAAUAGCUGGCUUUGCCCACGUAGGCUGUAGCUCAUAAGCCUUGGUUAGCUCGGCAUUGACGGCAAAAGAUAUAAACACACCCUCAAUGACAUCACUCCCUCUAAUUCACAAGUGCUGUUUGGACAUUAGCACGCUCCACACCGUAACUUCGACAAGCAAUUUCUGCUAUCAUGCAUAUAUUUAAAUUUUUUCUGAGUGGACAGAGUACCAUAUGUUGACAGUACCAUAUGUUGACUUAGGUGAACAUUUCUGGUUUGUGCAAUAUAUUUAGUUGCCGAUUUGAUCGAUUAGAUUUAGAUAGAAAGCGUCCAAAUACGAAGAAAAUUGCUGAGCCAUUAAACUGUUUUCUGGAGAUCAAAGUCACCACGUAUUCUAUGGAGGGCUCGCAGAAUGGCGCCUGUACAGAAAUGAGUUGACUUUGUGUUGUUAUCCGGCUUGUUUAGUUUGUUGACCUAUUUGUGUUUAUUGAUCCAUAUUUAAAUGUUCUCAAUUCACAGUCAACAGGAGGUUGGAUGAGUGGGUUAAACUUGAACAACCUGCUCUCUCUCACGUUGCUCUUCACCUUUGUUUGAAUUCGUUUUGCAUCGUUUGGUAGAACCGGGAUGAAUUUUGAUUAAGUUGUUUGCCCUUUCUUUGUGUUGUGUUCAAUUUCAUCACUGAUUUCCUUGUUAGUACCACUGCUUGUUUCUGCGACUAUUCUAAUUGCAGACGACGACAUCAGCAUCCCUACAGAUCUGAAGCGGCCCAUCCAUAAUGGUUUCUACCGCCAUAUCUACCAACCCCGACCGGAUUUAUCAUUGCAUGGGAUCUCUCCUUAUCCGACGCUCACUCUGACGCAUCUGGCAUAGAAGUGAUUGCAAAGGAGCUGGAUGUGCAGGGCCAUGGCAUCCCGAUGACAGUGGCCAACAUCACCUACAUGGGCAUGAACGACCUCCAUGCUGCUGGCGGCCUUGGCACGCUACUGUUCUACCUUUAUCUCCUGGAGGUCAAGAUGGAUGUUGACAUUCCCAACACUGUUCAGGGUAAUUCAUUCAUUCAUGCCUCAUACUUGGCACGCUACUGUUCUACCUUUAUCUCCUGGAGGUCAAGAUGGAGGUCAAGGUGGAUCGGCAGGAGCUAAAGGUUUCUCACUGGAGCGGAACUCCUUUGCACGGAGUCUCAUAACGCAGACUCAUCCCUGAAAGCGCUGUGACAACACUCAGGUUCAAUCAUGUGUUGCCCCCUGAAGGCUGCUCCUGUGUCCAGCCUUGCCAAUCAGGCCGGCCUCCACAUGCUGGAGGCGCCGCUGAUUGCUCUCCAGGUUCCCCAAGAUCAUGCAGCGGGUACUUAGCCAGCUACCAUUGUGAAUGAAUGGCAGACUCGCCCCCGGCUGUUUGUAACAAAACUGGAAGUUUGAAACUCUUGCUUUGUUCAUGGUUUGGCGUACCUACCCUGGCGGUGUGUGCGUGUUCUUGCAAAUAAGGUCUAUGGCCCAUUUACAUAUAUUUGAUGCUCUUAGAUGGACAUGAAAACACUUGGCGCCACUAUAUUUUAGGUCCAUGUUCUAACUGUCAAUAAUAUGGCACUACACUUGGUUUUAUCUCCUGUUUUUUAGAGUUCGGUGAAAAACUGCCACACCAAAGUUGGUUGCUUCUAGGUGCUAUUGUAUAGUGAAUGAUAACUGAUUUAUAGUCCUGAGAUGUUUAUUUGUGUUCAA
Triticum dicoccoides is the source of this 5389-nucleotide long non-coding RNA. RefSeq lists it as uncharacterized. The transcript has 12 exons. The record is from RefSeq and is a predicted model, not a curated record. NCBI's taxonomy places the organism in Eukaryota, Viridiplantae, Streptophyta, Magnoliopsida, Poales, Poaceae.